UCCCUGGUGGUUCAGACGGUAAAGAAUCUGCCUGCAAUGCAGGAGACCCAGGUUCGAUCCUUGGAUAAGGAA
RNAcentral lists this transfer RNA (72 nucleotides) under Bos taurus (domestic cattle). It matches the Rfam family "tRNA". Rfam says of the family: Transfer RNA (tRNA) molecules are approximately 80 nucleotides in length. Their secondary structure includes four short double-helical elements and three loops (D, anti-codon, and T loops). Lineage: Eukaryota; Metazoa; Chordata; Mammalia; Artiodactyla; Bovidae. RNAcentral also lists the same sequence under 4 other names. The record is from Rfam by way of RNAcentral.